CACUUGCUCUUUAUUGAGACUUGUAUGAGUGGAGUUAUGGAGGUUUUUUUAUAAACGGUUUUUUGGCUGAAUUUGAUUUAUCUACGAAAAGUUAGAUUUGUUUUCAAAGACGAGAAGACCCCGAAAUCUUUAUUUUAAAAUAAUGGGUUUUAAUUUUUGUUUGGGGGAAAAGUUAAUUUGUAUUAUUUUCUUUUUUAGUGUGAACUUUGUUAGGUUAAAUGGAUAGAUACUUCGGGGUUAACAGGAUAAUUUUCUUUUGAAGUUCUUAUUUUAGAGGGAGAUUGUUACCUCGAUGUUGGCUUUUGAA
Molecule: ribosomal RNA, 307 nt
Filed under: Demodex canis (dog follicle mite)
Lineage: Eukaryota; Metazoa; Arthropoda; Arachnida; Trombidiformes; Demodicidae
Description: partial large subunit ribosomal RNA
Source: RNAcentral